UUGGUCAAUGGUCGAGAGACUGAACCAGCCAAGUCGCGUGAAGGAUGACGGUUCUAUGAAUUGUAAACUUCUUUUAUCAGGGAAUAAAGUGAGGUACGUGUACCUUUUUGUAUGUACCUGAUGAAUAAGCAUCGGCUAACUCCGUG
RNAcentral lists this ribosomal RNA (146 nucleotides) under uncultured bacterium. RNAcentral describes it as "partial 16S ribosomal RNA". It matches the Rfam family "Bacterial small subunit ribosomal RNA", at positions 364 to 507 of the family's 1533-position model. The record is from RNAcentral.